RNAcentral lists this ribosomal RNA (596 nucleotides) under Oxypoda praecox. RNAcentral's name for it is "partial 16S ribosomal RNA". It matches the Rfam family "Bacterial large subunit ribosomal RNA", at positions 1845 to 2712 of the family's 2925-position model. Lineage: Eukaryota; Metazoa; Arthropoda; Insecta; Coleoptera; Staphylinidae. The record is from RNAcentral.
AUUUAAAGUCUAACCUGCCCUAUGAGUAAUUUAAAUGGCCGCAGUAUUUUGACUGUGCAAAGGUAGCAUAAUCAUUAGUUUCUUAAUUAGGAGCUGGAAUGAAAGGUUGAACGAAAAAAUAACUGUCUCUAUAUAAAUUUAUUAGAAUUUUAUUUUUAAGUUAAAAAGCUUAAAUAAUUUUAAAAGACGAGAAGACCCUAUAGAGUUUUAUAUAGUUUGUAUUAAAAAAAUAAAUUUUUUAUUGUAAAAAUUUUAAUGUAAUUUAUAUUUAAUUGGGGUGAUUAAAAAAUUUAAAAAACUUUUUUUUUAUUAAACCAUAAAUAUAUGAUUAAUUGAUCCAUAAUUUAUGAUUAUAAGAUUAAAUUACCUUAGGGAUAACAGCGUAAUUUCUUUUUAGAGUUCUAAUCGAUAAAGAAGUUUGCGACCUCGAUGUUGGAUUAAAAUAUAUUUUUGGUGUAGAAGCUUAAAAAUUAGGUCUGUUCGACCUUUAAAAUUUUACAUGAUCUGAGUUUAAACCGGUGUAAGCCAGGUUGGUUUCUAUCUUUAAAAAAUUAAAAUAUUUUAGUACGAAAGGACCAAAUAUUUAAAAUAUUUUU